This 430-nucleotide ribosomal RNA is filed under the name uncultured bacterium. RNAcentral describes it as "partial 16S ribosomal RNA". It matches the Rfam family "Bacterial small subunit ribosomal RNA", at positions 29 to 507 of the family's 1533-position model. The record is from RNAcentral.
AACGAACGCUGGCGGCAGGCCUAACACAUGCAAGUCGAACGCCCCGCAAGGGGAGUGGCAGCCGGGUGAGUAACACGUGGGAACCUUCCCUAUAGUACGGAAUAGCCCAGGGAAACUUGGAGUAAUACCGUAUACGCCCGAAAGGGGAAAGAAUUUCGCUAUAGGAUGGGCCCGCGUAGGACUAGCUAGUUGGUGAGGUAAUGGCUCACCAAGGCGACGAUCCUUAGCUGGUUUGAGAGAACGACCAGCCACACUGGGACUGAGACACGGCCCAGACUCCAACGGGAGGCAGCAGUGGGGAAUAUUGGACAAUGGGCGCAAGCCUGAUCCAGCCAUGCCGCGUGAGUGAUGAAGGCCUUAGGGUUGUAAAGCUCUUUUGGCGGGGACGAUAAUGACGGUACCCGCAGAAUAAGUCCCGGCUAACUUCGUG